GAUGAACGCUGGCGGCGUGCUUAACACAUGCAAGUCGAACGAUGAAGCUCAGCUUGCUGGGUGGAUUAGUGGCGAACGGGUGAGUAACACGUGAGUAACCUGCCCUUAACUCUGGGAUAAGCCUGGGAAACUAGGUCUAAUACCGGAUAGGAGCGCCUACCGCAUGGUGGGUGUUGGAAAGAUUUAUCGGUUUUGGAUGGACUCGCGGCCUAUCAGCUUGUUGGUGAGGUAAUGGCUCACCAAGGCGACGACGGGUAGCCGGCCUGAGAGGGUGACCGGCCACACUGGGACUGAGACACGGCCCAGACUCCUACGGGAGGCAGCAGUGGGGAAUAUUGCACAAUGGGAGAAAGCCUGAUGCAGCGACGCCGCGUGAGGGAUGACGGCCUUCGGGUUGUAAACCUCUUUCAGUAGGGAAGAAGCGAAAGUGACGGUACCUGCAGAAGAAGCACCGGCUAACUACGUG
Molecule: ribosomal RNA, 466 nt
Filed under: uncultured bacterium
Lineage: Bacteria
Description: partial 16S ribosomal RNA
Rfam family: Bacterial small subunit ribosomal RNA
Source: RNAcentral